GGUAUGGGAUGAGCUUGCGUCCGAUUAGCUAGUUGGCGGGGCAACGGCCCACCAAGGCGACGAUCGGUAGCCGGCCUGAGAGGGUGAUCGGCCACAUUGGGACUGAGAUACGGCCCAGACUCCUACGGGAGGCAGCAGUAGGGAAUAUUGCACAAUGGGGGAAACCCUGAUGCAGCAACGCCACGUGUGGGAAGAAGCAUUUCGGUGUGUAAACCACUGUCGUGAGGGAAUAAGGCGUCUUCUCGGAGACGUUGAAUGUACCUCGAAAGGAAGCACCGGCAAACUUCGUGCCAGCAGCCGCGGUAAUACGAGGGGUGCAAGCGUUGUUCGGAAUCACUGGGCGUAAAGGGAGCGUAGGCGGAGAUGCAAGCGGACUGUACAAUACCGGGGCCCAACCCCGGGCCUGCAGUUCGGACUGCACCUCUUGGAUAGUUCAGGGGCAGGC
Molecule: ribosomal RNA, 445 nt
Filed under: uncultured bacterium
Lineage: Bacteria
Description: bacterial SSU rRNA
Rfam family: Bacterial small subunit ribosomal RNA
Source: RNAcentral